GAUGAAGAACGUAGCGAAAUGCGAUAAGUAAUGUGAAUUGCAGAAUUUAGUGAAUCAUCGAAUGUUUGAACGCACAUUGCGCCCCCUGGUAUUCCGGGGGGCAUGCCUGUCCGAGCGUCAUUACAACCCUCAAGCUCAGCUUGGUAUUGGGCCCCGCCGACCCGGCGGGCCCUAAAGUCAGUGGCGGUGCCGUCCGGCUCCGAGCGUAGUAAUUCUUCUCGCUCUGGAGGUCCGGUCGUGUGCUCGCCAGCAACCCCCAAUUUUUUUCAGGUUGACCUCGGAUCAGGUAGGGAUACCCGCUGAACUUAAGCAUAUCAAUAAGCGGAGGA
Molecule: unclassified non-coding RNA, 329 nt
Filed under: soil metagenome
Description: partial contains 5.8S ribosomal RNA, internal transcribed spacer 2, and large subunit ribosomal RNA
Rfam family: 5.8S ribosomal RNA (bases 1-120)
Source: RNAcentral